RNAcentral lists this unclassified non-coding RNA (1627 nucleotides) under Hevea brasiliensis (rubber tree). Lineage: Eukaryota; Viridiplantae; Streptophyta; Magnoliopsida; Malpighiales; Euphorbiaceae. The record is from RNAcentral.
GUGACUAUCAUUGACAAUAUAACUACCGUAGUAAUGAUAACAGACACCUAUCAUAAUAAAAAAAAUUCUAUGUAUGAAUAUUACUACUUAGCCUAUACCUCGAAGCAAUAUUUGACACUCUGUCAUUGAGCCAACAGUUAGUAUACAAAACUUUAUUACCCCAAGGUCAAACAUAACACACAUUUUCAAUCCUCUUAUUUUCUUUGCUGUCCAUUAGCUUCUGUAGCCUUUACUAGCUUAAUUAUUAGAGUGUCAUCAAGGAACAACUCCCCCUUUAACUCUCUAACACCUGGCAAUCAUUUUCCAUCAAUUCAAUCCAGUCGGAUAAAGGACGCUAUUACUCCGAAAAUACCCACCGAACCGAUAUUCGCAUCCUCAUUCCUCUACCUCUUUUAGAUAUUAUCCAUGUGUUAUUCAUCUGUGAUACGCCUGUAUCAGCAAUUAUCAGAUAUGCAAACUUAUAAUUAGAAUUUCAUUAUAUUCAAAUAAGCUCCUACAACACUGUCAUUUACUUGAGCAUUGGAGUCACCUUCCUUCUUUUGCAGGAACAAUAUAUUCUGACAACCACAGCCUCUUGAAUCCAUGGCACCAGCAAGAAAAACAAAAGCCAAAUUUAUAAUAAUAAUAAUUUUUCUUAAUAUUUGUUUUCAUUUUUUCGGAGAUGCGUUACAAGCAGUAUCUUAGUGUCCGUAUUAUUGACACAGUUUCAUUAUUGAAAUUCAAAGAUAAUUAUUUAGUAAAAACUCAAUCAUUUAGCAGCGGUGUACUCGCAGCGCAUAUAUGUUGAUGUGAAAAUCCAAGUCUAGCUCUCCGCUCUCCCUACAUAUAUAAUUUUAAAAAUAAAAACUCAAAUCAUUUACCACUCAAAAUACGCCCCCCACCAAAAUUCAGCAUUUCAAAUUAAUAGGAGGAAGAUCCGGCUUCUUCUCGGAAUUCUUAGCAAUCCGACUCCCAAAAAGCACGAACCCAACGGCGUGACCACCGACGGCAGCAAGAAAAACGCCGCCGUUAAAGGACACGACAGCAAGCAUCACCAAGUAAGACAGUCCAGCACGCACCAUGUACAUGCCAGUCCGAAAGAAACCCGCGGCGACCUUAUUCGUCCCGGGCUUGAUGAUGCUGCAAAAGUUGAACCACUCCACGAUCACUGCAAGAGUGAAGACGAAGAUCAAAGCCAAAGCGUACAUGCCAGAGCUAGAACCAGGCCAACCCUUGAAAAGAAUUUCGGUUUUGUGACCCCAGUAAAAGGUCAUGUGUGUGAUCGCUUUGUGGUGGACAUGAAUGCCGGUGGUGUUCCACGCCUCUGUCAGUGAAGAACCCAUUAUUGUGACUGUGUAGGUAUGCUUGGGGUUGGCGAAGUGGAGGGUAUAAAUCAACAGCGAGAGAGUGGGAAUUCUGUCUAGGGAUGGUGCAACAGUGGUUUGGUGAAAUUCCUUGCUUGAUACUUUGUACAUUUGUGACACUUUUGUGGCUAUCCUUGUAUAGUCAAAGAGAAAGACUUGCAAGGUUUUGAAGGUACAAUAAUGUAUAGCAGAGAGGAGAGCUUUUGAUUUCUGAAGUAGACGAUGAGGAGGGCAAUCUUGGACUUGAAUGCUCAGAAAAUAUGCAAUAACUCCCGAGGAAGCAA